CGGUAGCCGCGGUAAUACGAAGGGUGCAAGCGUUACUCGGAAUUACUGGGCGUAAAGCGUGUGUAGGUGGUGGUUUAAGUCCGUUGUGGAAGCCCUGGGCUCAACCUGGGAAUUGCAGUGGAUACUGGGUCACUAGAGUGUGGUAGAGGAUAGUGGAAUUUCCGGUGUAGCGGUGAAAUGCGUAGAGAUCGGGAGGAACAUCAGUGGCGAAGGCGGCCAUCUGGGACAACACUGACGCUGAGGCACGAAAGCGUGGGGAGCAAACAGGAUUAGAUACCCCGGUAGUCCCUGUCUCUUAUAA
RNAcentral lists this ribosomal RNA (301 nucleotides) under uncultured bacterium. RNAcentral describes it as "partial 16S ribosomal RNA". It matches the Rfam family "Bacterial small subunit ribosomal RNA", at positions 509 to 809 of the family's 1533-position model. The record is from RNAcentral.